UACGAAGGGGGCUAGCGUUGUUCGGAGUUACUGGGCGUAAAGGGUGUGUAGGCGGUUGUUUAAGUUUGGUGUGAAAUCUCCCGGCUCAACUGGGAGGGUGCGCCGAAUACUGAAUGACUUCGAGUGCGGGAGAGGAAAGUGGAAUUCCUGGUGUAGCGGUGAAAUGCGUAGAUAUCAGGAGGAACACCGGUGGUGUAGACGGCUUUCUGGACCGUAACUGACGCUGAGGAGCGAAAGCGUGGGGAGCAAACAGG
This 254-nucleotide ribosomal RNA is filed under the name uncultured bacterium. RNAcentral's name for it is "partial 16S ribosomal RNA". It matches the Rfam family "Bacterial small subunit ribosomal RNA", at positions 524 to 776 of the family's 1533-position model. The record is from RNAcentral.